GGAUUUUGUUAUCUAUUUGGGAUCCCCAGAGAUUCCAUAUGAAUGGAUGAAGUUUUGCUCUGUCCCCAAGCUGGAAUGCAGUGGUGCAAUCUUGGUUCACUGCAACCUCUGCCUCCCAGGUUCAAGCGAUUCUCCUGUCUCAGCCUCCUGAGUAGCUGGGAUUACAGGUGCAUGCCACCAUGCCCAGCUAAUUUUUAUAUUUUUAGUAGAGACUGGGUUUCACCAUGUUGGCCAGGCUGGUCUCGAACUCCCGACCUCAGGUGAUCCGACUGCCUCAGCCUCCCAAAGUGCUGGGAUUACAAGCAUGAGCCACUGCGCCCAGACUUAAUGAUCAUUCUUUAACAGCCCUUUCUUGAUUUGUGUGUUUGUAUGUGUGUGUGUGUGUGCGUGGGUGUGAAUGUAAUGCAUGUAGUGGAGGUGUUUCUUAUAUAUUAUUUUUCCUUUUCCUUUUUUCUUAUGUCUAUUACUACUCCAUUUUAUAACAUUUAUAUUCUAUAUUAGCAAAAUUGUUAUCUCAAAUUUAAUGUUUGUAAGGUUCUUGUCACUAACCAAUCUAUCUUUAUAGUUUCUCUGUCAGCAGUUUUUUUUUAUAACAGAGUUAUUUACUUUUUUAUUCAUGCUUCUUUUCAUUCAUCAUCUUUUGGUGUGUUUCUCUCUGUAGUGGAUAUCAUGUUUGCUCAUCGUUUGAAAUGUCUUGUUAUAUAUAACAUUUGUAAGAAACAUGUUGAAAUUUUAUGCUCACAUUUUCAAGCUGCAUUUCAAGCUCUUU
RNAcentral lists this long non-coding RNA (769 nucleotides) under Homo sapiens (human). Its description in RNAcentral is "non-protein coding lnc-SLC16A7-2:1". Lineage: Eukaryota; Metazoa; Chordata; Mammalia; Primates; Hominidae. The record is from RNAcentral.